UAAGGGGGUUAUACUUGGGGUGCUCCACCUGAUCCCAUUCCGAACUCAGAAGUGAAAUCCUUAAAGGCCGAUGGUACCCCGAUGAACUUCGGGGAAGAGUAGGUGACCCUCCUAC
RNAcentral lists this ribosomal RNA (115 nucleotides) under Patescibacteria group bacterium. The record is from RNAcentral. RNAcentral also lists the same sequence under 1 other name.